This 254-nucleotide ribosomal RNA is filed under the name uncultured bacterium. RNAcentral describes it as "partial 16S ribosomal RNA". It matches the Rfam family "Bacterial small subunit ribosomal RNA", at positions 527 to 779 of the family's 1533-position model. The record is from RNAcentral.
CGAAGGGGCUAGCGUUGUUCGGAUUUACUGGGGCGUAAAGCGCACGUAGGCGGACUUUUAAGUCAGGGGUGAAAUCCCGGGGCUCAACCCCGGAACUGCCUUUGAUACUGGAAGUCUUGAGUAUGGUAGAGGUGAGUGGAAUUCCGAGUGUAGAGGUGAAAUUCGUAGAUAUUCGGAGGAACACCAGUGGCGAAGGCGGCUCACUGGACCAUUACUGACGCUGAGGUGCGAAAGCGUGGGGAGCAAACAGGAUU